UUUUUACUCCCUCCGCCCUAAAUUUGUUGUCUUAUCUUUGUCUAGACAUGGAUGUAUCUAAAUACUAAAACGUGACUAGAUACAUUUAUAUCUAGACAAAUCUAAGACAAAAAUUUUAAGACGAAGGAAGUGCUUG
Molecule: non-coding RNA, 136 nt
Organism: Hordeum vulgare subsp. vulgare (domesticated barley)
Lineage: Eukaryota; Viridiplantae; Streptophyta; Magnoliopsida; Poales; Poaceae
Source: Rfam